UUUCCCAUUCUGCAUAUGAAAAAGCAAAUGCCAAAUUAAGUACUCUUUGUAAAUGGAAUUAAAAAUCACCUCUGUUUAUACGCAUGGGAUAAAACAAUAUUGGGCCACUGCAGGUUGAGGUGAAGCGUUUCAUCUCUUCUGCAUGGUCUAGACAUUG
This is a small nucleolar RNA of Jaculus jaculus (lesser Egyptian jerboa), 157 nucleotides long. RefSeq annotates it as small nucleolar RNA SNORA20. The record is from RefSeq and is a predicted model, not a curated record. The transcript has a single exon. NCBI's taxonomy places the organism in Eukaryota, Metazoa, Chordata, Mammalia, Rodentia, Dipodidae.